AAAGUCGUAACAAGGUCUCCGUAGGUGAACCUGCGGAGGGAUCAUUAACACGUUUCCAAAAACGUUUUCUAACCAAAUCAACGUGAACCUAAAACAACUCCCUUAUCAGUGUGACGAACGAAUAAUCAUCAGGGUGGAGUGCAACGAAAGUUGUGUUAUGACUCGUUCUAGGGGCCCUUCGAGGCUUCAAUCCGCUGAUAAGUGUCUUUGCGACCACCUGGCAGUCUACAUUCGUGUAGCGUUCUGCCGAAUUUUUUCACAACAAUUUUUAACCCCUUUCACAACAUACUAAUAACUGAACCAUUUUUUUUCUAAUACAUCCCUUGUGAUGUAUUGAAAAAAAGAUAUACGUAAUGCUGAACAACUCUUAGCAAUGGAUAUCUUGGUUCUC
Molecule: unclassified non-coding RNA, 391 nt
Filed under: Basidiomycota sp.
Lineage: Eukaryota; Fungi; Basidiomycota
Description: partial contains small subunit ribosomal RNA, internal transcribed spacer 1, and 5.8S ribosomal RNA
Rfam family: Eukaryotic small subunit ribosomal RNA (bases 1-47)
Source: RNAcentral